CCAAUAGCGUAUAUUAAAGUUGUUGCAGUUAAAAAGCUCGUAGUUGAAUUUCGGGAUCAAAUUGUCGGUCGUGCCUCGGUACGUACUGGCGUUAUUGGUUCCUCCCUUCUGAAGAACCGCGAUGUCAUUAAUUUGGUGUCGCGGGGAAUCAGGACUGUUACUUUGAAAAAAUUAGAGUGUUUAAAGCAGGCUCGCGCUUGAAUACAUUAGCAUGGAAUAAUGAAAUAGGACGUUUGAUUCUAUUUUGUUGGUUUCUAGGAUCGACGUAAUGAUUAAUAGGGAUAGUUGGGGGCAUUAGUAUUCAAUUGUCAGAGGUGAAAUUCUUGGAUUUAUUGAAGACUAACUACUGCGAAAGCAUUUGCCAAGGAUGUUUUCAUUAAUCAAGAACGAAAGUUAGGGGAUCGAAGACGAUCAGAUACCGUCGUAGUCUUAACCAUAAACUAUGCCGACUAGGGAUCGGAUGAUGUUAAUUUUUUAAUGACUCAUUCGGCGCCUUGCG
This 499-nucleotide ribosomal RNA is filed under the name uncultured Glomeromycotina. RNAcentral's name for it is "partial small subunit ribosomal RNA". It matches the Rfam family "Eukaryotic small subunit ribosomal RNA", at positions 591 to 1092 of the family's 1831-position model. Lineage: Eukaryota; Fungi; Glomeromycota. The record is from RNAcentral.